Molecule: ribosomal RNA, 450 nt
Filed under: uncultured Glomeromycotina
Lineage: Eukaryota; Fungi; Glomeromycota
Description: SSU rRNA
Rfam family: Eukaryotic small subunit ribosomal RNA
Source: RNAcentral
AGCAGCCGCGGUAAUUCCAGCUCCAAUAGCGUAUAUUAAAGUUGUUGCAGUUAAAAAGCUCGUAGUUGAAUUUCGGGAUCAAUACGUCGGUCGUGCUUCGGUACGUACUGGCGUCAUUGAUUUCUCCCUUCUGACGAACCAUGAUGUCAUUAACUUGGUGUCAUGGGAAAUCAGGACUGUUACUUUGAAAAAAUUAGAGUGUUUAUAGCAGGCUAACGCUUGAAUACAUUAGCAUGGAAUAAUGAAAUAGGACGUUCGACCCUAUUUUGUUGGUUUCUAGGAUCGACGUAAUGAUUAAUAGGGAUAGUUGGGGGCAUUAGUAUUCAAUUGUCAGAGGUGAAAUUCUUGGAUUUAUUGAAGACUAACUACUGCGAAAGCAUUUGCCAAGGAUGUUUUCAUUAAUCAAGAACGAAAGUUAGGGGAUCGAAGACGAUCAGAUACCGUCGUAGU